Long non-coding RNA from Oncorhynchus tshawytscha (Chinook salmon), 1219 nucleotides. RefSeq lists it as uncharacterized. The record is from RefSeq and is a predicted model, not a curated record. NCBI's taxonomy places the organism in Eukaryota, Metazoa, Chordata, Actinopteri, Salmoniformes, Salmonidae. The transcript is spliced from 3 exons.
ACAUCUUACCUAUGUUACCAACUAAUUCUGAUUAUUCCCCAACAUGUAUCAAAAGUAAAAUUCCUUAUAUUAAACACUUCAGGCCUUGUCCUAGUCCCCAAAGGCAUGGAUAGUAGCCACCAUUCUCCCUCACCCUUCUUCACUGAAAGGUGGAUUGUGCAUUAAACCCCGAGUCAAUCUUGGACAGUAGCAGAACACUGCAUCUUGAAGCCCCAUCCACAACCCCCCCAUAUAUCAAAUGUCCUCUUGACCAAGCAGUCUCCUCUCCUACUGGUUGUUGGUUAACAUGUUGUUCAGCCCUCCAUAGCAGUAUAUUGUUAUGUAAACCAGUCAUAGAUUCAGUAGUGUGUUCCUUCCUGCCUCAGGUGGGCCGUUCGUCUUUAGGGGCAGAGCAGCAGACCACGCUUCCUGAAGCCUGGGAGGUGAGAACCAAUGGGGACCUGGCUCCUGAGAUGAGACCCAAUGGAGGUCUAGCAUCUGAGAUGAGAACCAAUAGGGAUGGCGAGCUAGAGAGCCUGGUGGAUGCUGAGCAGCCAGACAACUCCAGUGACUCAGACAUGAGUGAUGAUGAUAUCCUCACCUUGGACGCUGUGUGUGGUGUGUGAAUACCUGCGAGUGUGUCCGUCCGUCCAUGUGUCUGUUCAUCCUUCUAACAGUGUCCUCUCCUGCUGUACUGUAGAGCCUGCUGCUGAGAGCCUAGUAGACAUGCUGCAGGGUGAGUUCUGUGGGAAGAGAGGCUACGUUCACACCUUCCUCCGAUCCAAACGAUUCUGCUCCAUGACCUGUGUCAGGAUGAAGGGGAUUUCAAGAGACCCAGACUACAAUUCUUGGAAUGUUUUUGUGUUCAGUGGAAUAUCUCCCCUGGAUGGCUAAACUCCAGAAACCAUACAGACCUCAACUUCUCAUCUUUCUGGUCCUCCGACUGCCUCUCUCCCUCCACUCUGUCAGGUUCAAUGUGAGCUGUACUAAGCAUCUGAGCGAGUUGAAGGUGGACAAGGCCAGUCAUUGGGGCCACAGGCCGAUGGGCAGGAGAGGACGACCCCCGGGGAGGAUCAACGGGGGCUCCAGAGAACACUUCCUCCUUAGACAGGUGAAGUGGCCCUACGGAUCUGAUGAGGCCCAGAGAAGGUUGAGGGGAGAGGAGGAAGAAGAGCCCCUUGUCCCCAUGAUCACCAGGCUGCAUUGGCAUGAAGAGAGGGAGAGAAGAUGACAGAGAGAG